AAGUCGUAACAAGGUUUCCGUAGGUGAACCUGCGGAAGGAUCAUUAACACGUAUCCACGUAUCCACCCCUCGUGCACUGUUUUCACUCUCCCUAGGGAGACUCGACAGGAGUUGGAAGGGAAUUCGAGCGUUUGAAUGAGAAAAGCCCUUAAAAGCUAUUCGGCUCAAAUUCCCCUAUCUGCUGAGCAAUCAGCUUACAACUGUAGUCGACUCUUCUAGGCCUUUAUUCUUCUUAUUGGAAGCGCUCUCCAUUCAAGAUCGCCCCUCUAAGAUGUUUAAACACACCUUUCACCCCCUUUUUGCUAGUUGACUUUUUAUAUGUUGUUACACUAGAUUCAUUUCUAUUGUCUCACACGUUUAAUUACUUGAACGUUAAAAAAACAACUCUUAGCAAUGGAUAUCUUGGUUCUC
Molecule: unclassified non-coding RNA, 411 nt
Filed under: fungal sp.
Lineage: Eukaryota; Fungi
Description: partial internal transcribed spacer region
Rfam family: Eukaryotic small subunit ribosomal RNA (bases 1-46)
Source: RNAcentral